This 401-nucleotide ribosomal RNA is filed under the name uncultured bacterium. RNAcentral's name for it is "bacterial SSU rRNA". It matches the Rfam family "Bacterial small subunit ribosomal RNA", at positions 975 to 1375 of the family's 1533-position model. The record is from RNAcentral.
CAAGUCUUGACAUCCCAUCGAAUAAAGGGUAAUGCCUUUAGUCCUUCGGGACGAUGGAGACAGGUGGUGCAUGGUUGUCGUCAGCUCGUGUCGUGAGAUGUUGGGUUAAGUCCCGCAACGAGCGCAACCCUUAUCUUUAGUAGCCAGCGAGUGAAGUCGGGCACUCUAGAGAGACUGCCGGGGAUAACCCGGAGGAAGGUGGGGAUGACGUCAAAUCAUCAUGCCCCUUAUGAUUUGGGCUACACACGUGCUACAAUGGCGUAAACAGAGGGAGGCGAGCCCGCGAGGGGGAGCAAAUCCCAAAAAUAACGUCCCAGUUCGGAUUGUAGUCUGCAACCCGACUACAUGAAGCUGGAAUCGCUAGUAAUCGCGGAUCAGAAUGCCGCGGUGAAUACGUUCCC